This 78-nucleotide transfer RNA is filed under the name Pleodorina starrii. RNAcentral describes it as "tRNA-Phe". The stretch from base 8 to 73 matches the Rfam family "tRNA", at positions 5 to 66 of the family's 71-position model. From Rfam's summary of the family: Transfer RNA (tRNA) molecules are approximately 80 nucleotides in length. Their secondary structure includes four short double-helical elements and three loops (D, anti-codon, and T loops). Lineage: Eukaryota; Viridiplantae; Chlorophyta; Chlorophyceae; Chlamydomonadales; Volvocaceae. The record is from RNAcentral.
UGAGCACAUUUAGCUCAGUUGGGAGAGCGCGCUAGACUGAAGAUCUAGAGGUCGCUAGUUCGAUCCUGGCAAUUCCAU